GGGGGGAGCGCUGGAUCCUGGCUGUGUUCCCAAGCACCCUGGGCUCCAGGACCUGCACCGCUGGAAUCCCGCUCCCCGGUCCACGCAGCCCCCU
Molecule: microRNA precursor, 94 nt
Filed under: Canis lupus familiaris (dog)
Lineage: Eukaryota; Metazoa; Chordata; Mammalia; Carnivora; Canidae
Also listed under: 1 other name
Description: mir-8799 microRNA precursor family
Rfam family: mir-8799 microRNA precursor family
Source: Rfam by way of RNAcentral